GACGAACGCUGGCGGCGUGCUUAACACAUGCAAGUCGAGCGGGAUCCAACCGGUGGCAACACCGGGGAAGAUCUAGCGGCGAACGGGUGAGUAACACGUGAGCAACCUGCCCCGAAGACUGGGAUAACACCGGGAAACCGGUGCUAAUACCGGAUGUCGUCAUUAGGCCGCAUGACCUGAUGAUGAAAGGAUUCAUCGCUUCGGGAGGGGCUCGCGGGCUAUCAGCUUGNGGUGGGGUAACGGCCUACCAAGGCGACGACGGCUAGCUGGUCUGAGAGGACGACCAGCCACACUGGGACUGAGACACGGCCCAGACUCCUACGGGAGGCAGCAGUGGGGAAUCUUGCGCAAUGGGCGAAAGCCUGACGCAGCGACGCCGCGUGAGGGAUGACGGCCU
RNAcentral lists this ribosomal RNA (397 nucleotides) under uncultured bacterium. Its description in RNAcentral is "bacterial SSU rRNA". It matches the Rfam family "Bacterial small subunit ribosomal RNA", at positions 28 to 417 of the family's 1533-position model. The record is from RNAcentral.